AGGGCAAGUCUGGUGCCAGCAGCCGCGGUAAUUCCAGCUCCAAUAGCGUAUAUUAAAGUUGUUGCAGUUAAAAAGCUCGUAGUUGAAUUUCGGGGUUAGUAGGUUGGUCAUGCCUCAGGUAUGUACUGAUCUCACUGAUUCCUCCUUCCUGAUGAACCGUAAUGCCAUUAAUUUGGUGUUGCGGGGAAACUGGACUGUUACUUUGAAAAAAUUAGAGUGUUUAAAGCAGGCUAACGCUUGAAUACAUUAGCAUGGAAUAAUGAAAUAGGACGUUCGAUCCUAUUUUGUUGGUUUCUAGGAUUGACGUAAUGAUUAAUAGGGAUAGUUGGGGGCAUUAGUAUUCAAUUGUCAGAGGUGAAAUUCUUGGAUUUAUUGAAGACUAACUACUGCGAAAGCAUUUGCCAAGGAUGUUUUCAUUAAUCAAGAACGAAAGUUAGGGGAUCGAAGACGAUCAGAUACCGUCGUAGUCUUAACCAUAAACUAUGCCGACUAGGGAUCGGAUGAUGUUAAUUUUUUAAUGACUCAUUCGGCGCCUUACGGGAA
This 543-nucleotide ribosomal RNA is filed under the name uncultured Glomeromycotina. Its description in RNAcentral is "SSU rRNA". It matches the Rfam family "Eukaryotic small subunit ribosomal RNA", at positions 552 to 1096 of the family's 1831-position model. The record is from RNAcentral. Lineage: Eukaryota; Fungi; Glomeromycota.